UUCUUCUCCAUUUAUUUUCCCUUAUUUUUGACUCAAUACGCUAAAUUCACGAAUUUCGUUCAACCUUCUUCACAAUUCAUCCUUUCUUCAUCUACCUUUACAAUACUUAGAUAUUGUGAGUAUUUCAAAGAGGGAAACUUUGGGUUUUAUCUUGGACGUUUUUGGGACGAACUUCGGAUCGAAAAGGGCAUUUUUCAGGUCUUUUUGUGUGAUUUUUGUCUUCCAUAUUCAAAUUGCGGGUUCAUAGAGGAACCUUUUUGAUUUGAGAUUGAGAUACACUGACUGUGUUUGCUACUAAGGUAAGAUUUCUUACUGUGCUUGUACAGAUGAGUUGAGAAAUUGUUUUAUAAUGUUUGGAAAUUUACUUUUACAAUGAGAUUAUUUUAUGAAGUUUAUACGUUGAGAUUUAAAUGGUUCUCGAUAUUUAUAUUGAAAGAGUUUAUGAGAUUAUUCAUGAGAUUUAUAUUAAAAGGAGGAAGUUCCUCAAUAUUACCAAGUUGAGAUUUUUAAAGGAGGAAGUUCCUCACCCUUAAGAGGGUUUAUAGAGUUUAAUUGUGGGGUUGCCGGUAAGCGGUAUUCUCCGAGUUUGGAAGUAUGUUGAGUUAACAGUGUCUCAACAAUAUAUUUUAGUAGUUGGGUGUAUGUUGAUCAAUACACUUGCCAUUAGUCUUCCUUCUUGGUUCGUUAUCAAGUUAGGGGUAUGCAUACUAGGGACUUUGGUGUUUACCUUGUCUAGUGAGCCUAGCUAGCUCAUUGGAUUCUUAUAUACUUCCUACUCACAGAUUACGAAAUUAUAUUUGAAAGUUUUACAGAGUAGUUCAGAAAGAAAGAAAGAUGCUUAUUAGAAAGUUAAUUUUAUAUAUAUAAUUUGUACACCUUUUAAAUGAAUUUGUAAGAUAUUCCUAUAUAUCUUACCUGCACAUUGAAUAGUUUUGUUUUAUUUCAGUAUUAAAUCUUGCUCAGCCUUUGGCUGAUAUUACAGUGUUUAAUGUGCAGGGACUUGAAGAUAGUUAGCUCCAGUUGGGUUAAAGAGUGCGUUGGAUCCAUUUUGAUUUAGUAGACUUUAAAAAGACUUCCGCUGUUAUUUAUUUAUAGGAUUAUGUUCUGGUUUGUAAUAAUUAAUUUUACAUUCUAUUUAGUUGGUCUGUAAUAAUUAGUUAAAACUUUUGGUUAUUGUUUUAGUCAGAACCAUUAGCCUUGCGGUUAUUAUUAAUAAUUAUCGCGGCGUAGCACCUUUGGAUUUCCGAGUUAAUUUUAUUAAGUUGAUUUUAGAAGUA
This is a long non-coding RNA of Beta vulgaris subsp. vulgaris (sugar beet), 1277 nucleotides long. RefSeq lists it as uncharacterized. The record is from RefSeq and is a predicted model, not a curated record. Lineage: Eukaryota; Viridiplantae; Streptophyta; Magnoliopsida; Caryophyllales; Amaranthaceae. The transcript has 2 exons.